RNAcentral lists this ribosomal RNA (429 nucleotides) under Bacteroidota bacterium. Its description in RNAcentral is "Bacteroidetes bacterium partial 16S ribosomal RNA". It matches the Rfam family "Bacterial small subunit ribosomal RNA", at positions 355 to 776 of the family's 1533-position model. Lineage: Bacteria; Pseudomonadati; Bacteroidota. The record is from RNAcentral.
UAGGGAAUCUUCGGCAAUGGGGGGAACCCUGACCGAGCAACGCCGCGUGAGUGAAGAAGGAUUUCGGAUCGUAAAGCUCUGUUGUUAAGGAAGAACGAGUGGGAGAAGGGAAAGUUCAUACUGUGACGGUACUUAACCAGAAAGGGACGGCUAACUACGUGCCAGCAGCCGCGGUAAUACGUAGGUCCCGAGCGUUGUCCGGAUUUAUUGGGCGUAAAGCGAGCGCAGGCGGUUAGAUAAGUCUGAAGUUAAAGGCAGUGGCUCAACCAUUGUAGGCUUUGGACACUGUUUAACUUGAGUGCCGAAGGGGCGAGUGGAAUUCCAUGUGUAGCUGUGAAAUGCGUAGAUAUUUGGAGGAACACCUGUUGCGAAAGCGGCUCUCUGGUCUGUAACUGACGCUGAGGCUCGAAAGCGUGGGGAGCGAACAGG